CGGUCUGCUUAACACAUGCAAGUCGAACGAAGUCUUCGGACUUAGUGGCGGACGGGUGAGUAACACGUGAGAAUCUGCCUUCAGGUCGGGGAUAACAGUUGGAAACGACUGCUAAUACCGGAUGUGCCUUCGGGUGAAAGAUUUAUCGCCAGAAGAUGAGCUCGCGUCUGAUUAGCUAGUUGGUGGGGUAAAAGCCUACCAAGGCGACGAUCAAUAGCUGGUCUGAGAGGAUGAGCAGCCACACUGGGACUGAGACACGGCCCAGACUCCUACGGGAGGCAGCAGUGGGGAAAUUUCCGCAAUGGGCGAAAGCCUGACGGAGCAAGACGCGUGAGGGAGGAAGGCCUUUGGGUUGUAAACCUCUUUUGUCAGGGAAGAAAUUAUGACGGUACCUGACGAAUCAGCCUCGGCUAACUCCGUGCCAGCAGCCGCGGUAAUACGGAGGAGGCAAGCGUUAUCCGGAAUCAUUGGGCGUAAAGCGUCAGUAGUGGCCAAGUAAGUCUGCUGUCAAAGACCACAGCUUAACUGUGGAAAGGCAGUGGAAACUGCCUGGCUAGAGUACGGUAGGGGUAGAGGGAAUUCCAGGUGUAGCGGUGAAAUGCGUAGAGCUCUGGAAGAACACCGGUGGCGAAAGCGCUCUACUGGGCCGUAACUGACACUGAGGGACGAAAGCUAGGGGAGCGAAAGGGAUUAGAUACCCCUGUAGUCCUAGCCGUAAACGAUGGAUUCUAGGUGUAGCACGUAUCGACCCGUGCUGUAUCGGAGCCAACGCGUUAAGUUUCCCGCCUGGGGAGUACGCGCGCAAGCGUGAAACUCAAAGGAAUUGACGGGGGCCCGCACAAGCGGUGGAGUAUGUGGGUUAAUUCGAUGCAACGCGAAGAACCUUACCAGGGCUUGACAUGUCGCGAAUCUGGGGGAAACCU
Molecule: ribosomal RNA, 923 nt
Filed under: uncultured bacterium
Lineage: Bacteria
Description: bacterial SSU rRNA
Rfam family: Bacterial small subunit ribosomal RNA
Source: RNAcentral